RNAcentral lists this long non-coding RNA (2111 nucleotides) under Canis lupus familiaris (dog). RNAcentral's name for it is "lncRNA (ENSCAFG00000051222.1)". Lineage: Eukaryota; Metazoa; Chordata; Mammalia; Carnivora; Canidae. The record is from RNAcentral.
GAGGCAGGGCCUGCUGUGAGUGUGGAGAGGGGCGUGGGGCAUGCGCACACCCAUCCAUAUUUACAGGGGCUCCAGCAAGCAGGCUUUUCCUGGAGGUAGCUCUGUGACCGUGGGCAAGUUACACAUCUUCUGUAAGCCCCCAUUUCCCAACUCUUGGGUGAGAAUGUGAGAAGUACCAGCUGCGAAGCAUCAUUGUAAGAAUCAGAUCUGACGAUAUGGGUAAAGCCAGCACAUGGCUGGCACUCAAUAAAUCUUAGUCUUUAUUGGUUAUCAUCUUUUUUUAUUAGCUAUCAUUUUGCCAAGCUUCCCCAAACCCCUUGCAUGCAUCUGUUCCUUAUGCUUGUUGGAACAAUGCAAAGAUAGGAACUCUGAGCAUUACUGCUUUUUCCUCCAGCUACACUGUUUCUGUGAGUGGGACAUGGUCCACACUUCCCCUGAGGUUCUAGUCCACUGGAACCAUCAGGGUUAGUCCCUGCUUCCUGGCCCCUGGUUGUGGUAUUUGGUGCAAGGAUGCCCUGCAGCCUGCAUCAGGAGACAGGCCCGCUCUUUGCUCUGCGCCAAUACCCAUCUGUUGACUCUGGCUCUAGCAAAGCAGGACAUUCAGGGGGAGGUUGGGGAGGGAUUUCUGGUGGGUGCUCUGCUGCUAAGUGUGUGAGUGUUAGUGGGAACCACCCCUGGUUUGUCUGGAGCUAGACUUUCUUCUCUUUGAUCCAUCCUUUUCUUUCCUCCUUGCCAGCUGUUCUUAGCACCAUCGGGGUUUGGGUGUGUGCCAUGUAGCACCCAGCUCCUUGGCUAGGAGCAGGGCUUGUCUUCUUGAGAGCUGUCUGAAGUCCCAAGGGCUGUACGAGGGCCUUACAAGGAGCCCUUGGAUGACCACCAUGGCGUCACCCUGCCAUGCUCUCUGCAUGACUCCAGAGACCAGUUAUGUUAAAAGCUCUUCCUCUUGACUCCUCAAAAUAGGAGUAAUGUAUUCUAAUUCCAAGGACCUUCCCUUGCUAGGAGAUGCAGUGUAUCUUGCAGAUUUGUUCUUCUGGUUAGACAAGGUAGAUGAGGAGAAAACAGGCAUCUCUUGGGCGCCGGCAAGGUUCAGGAGGACUCUGUGUGGCCUUCUUGCAGGACUCAGUGGUCUCCUUGUCCAUCUGUUAAUCUUCCUGUCCCGAGCUGGCUUGAGCCUCUUCCCAGUGGAGGCUCUAGCCAUAAUGAGAGUCUCUCCCGGAGUCAUUCAUAUGUGUCACAGGGAACUGCAAGGUCUGCGUGUGCAGGAGGAGGUUAUGGCAGGCUAGCUAGGAGCAGCCUGUGGCUGUGGGGACAGGCAGGGCCCUUACUGGAGCUGCAUUUAGCAUACUGUUGUCUUUUACCCCAUGGCCUGGCAAUUAUGGCCCUGGCCAGAGGCUGUAGGGUCCUUGGCUGAAGCUUUGGGAUGCAUGGCUGCCCUCAUGGUGAUGGCAGGAAGACCAUGGUCAUCUUAAAGAAUGUGAGAGGCAACCAGGCCUCUGAGGAUGAGCCAAAUUAUUUAAGUUCAGUGGUUGAGACUCAGUUCAGGACAGUUUUGAGAGGCUGAAGACUUAUGUUAUUUUCGGGGAAUAUUGACCUCCGAGAUAGUGAGUCCAGGGCAGAAGUUAAACUCUCCCAGAGUAAGCAAGCCUUGUGGUUUCUUUCGUCUUUAUGAACAAAAAAUUUUGUCUUGAAAAUAAAAAUAAAAUACAUUAAUUUUUAAAAUAAACUUUGCAAAGACUGACUUUUAGUCCCUAUAUGAGCCUGUCUUCUUCCUCUUGGUGAGGAUGCGGUACAGAUGAUCUGGUCUGUGCCUGAGGCUCCGUUUGGUUGUGAGCUGUCAAGGUGGGGGACAUCUGCGGGGAAUAGGUAUUUUUUAGUGAUGGAGACGGAGUCACAGAUUUUUUUUUUUUUUAAAUCACAGGGAAUUAUAACCCAACAUUGAAGAACCUGGGCUCUGAAUUCUCCCUGGUAGGUAUUUUAGAAUUAAAUGAGCUCUUGUUUGCAAAAAUUUGCUCCACACAUUGCCUAGCCCUCAAAAAGUAUUAGCUAUCAUGGUUGCUUGAUGUCCUGACUCCUGAUGGACAUCCUAUGUGGGCUUCUGCUACUUAGAAAAA